RNAcentral lists this ribosomal RNA (1563 nucleotides) under human gut metagenome. RNAcentral describes it as "bacterial LSU rRNA". It matches the Rfam family "Bacterial large subunit ribosomal RNA", at positions 847 to 2491 of the family's 2925-position model. The record is from RNAcentral.
AGCUGGUUCUCCCCGAAAUAGCUUUAGGGCUAGCCUCAUAUAUGUUUACCGGAGGUAAAGCACUGAAUAGCCUAGGGGUCGAGAGACUACCGAAGCUUAUCAAACUAAGAAUGCCGGAUAAACGAGUAUGGGAGUCAGACUACGUGAGAUAAGUCUCGUGGUCAAAAGGGAAACAGCCCAGAUCUACAGCUAAGGUCCCAAAUGUAUACUAAGUGGAAAAGGAUGUGGCAAUGCUAAGACAACCAGGAUGUUGGCUUAGAAGCAGCCACUCAUUAAAAGAGUGCGUAAUAGCUCACUGGUCGAGUGAUGCUGCGCCGAAGAUUUAACGGGGCUAAGUAUACAACCGAAGCUUAGGCAGUAUUAGUACUGGGUAGGGGAGCGUUCUCAUUGGGGUGAAGUCAGAGCGAAAGCACUGGUGGACUGAUGAGAAGUGAGAAUGCCGGAAUGAGUAGCGAGAAUUGCGUGAGAAUCGUAAUGGCCGAAUAUCUAAGGUUUCCAGGGGUAGGUUCGUCCUCCCUGGGUCAGCCGGGAGCUAAGCUCAGGCCGAAAGGCGUAGGCGAUGCACACACGGUGGAGAUUCCGUGGCCUCUGAAGCUGUUAAAUAUACUGACACAUUACCGUAGCUUUACCGGGCGUUGGUUGCCCCGGGCGUAAGCCACUGAAAUCAAGUAGGGAAGUAAGUCAAGGUGAUGGCGAGAAAAGGUAUAUGGAUUGGCAAAGAGCCCGUACCGCAAACCGACACAGGUAGAUGAGGAGAGAAUCCUAAGGCCGACGGGAGAAGGGUUGUUAAGGAACUCGGCAAAUUGACCCCGUAACUUCGGAAUAAGGGGUGCUCGUGAAAACGAGGUCGCAGUGAAAUGGCCCAGGCGACUGUUUACCAAAAACACAGGUCUCUGCUAAACCGUAAGGUGAUGUAUAGGGGCUGACGCCUGCCCGGUGCCGGAAGGUCAAGGGGAUCACUUAGAGCAAUCGAAGGUGAGAACUUAAGCCCCGGUAAACGGCGGCCGUAACUAUAACGGUCCUAAGGUAGCGAAAUUCCUUGUCAGGUAAGUUCUGACCCGCACGAAUGGCGUAACGAUCUGGGCACUGUCUCAACAGCCCGCCCGGCGAAAUUGUAGUACCGGUGAAGAUGCCGGUUACCCGCGACUAGACGGAAAGACCCCAUGGAGCUUUACUGCAGCUUGAUAUUGAGAUUCGGUUCAUUAUGUACAGGAUAGGUGGGAGACAUGGAACCACGGGCGUCAGCUUGUGGGGAGUCGCCGUUGGGAUACCACUCUUGAUGAAUCGGGUUUCUAACCUGCUCCCGUGAAUCCGGGAGGGGGACAAUGUCAGGUGGGCAGUUUGACUGGGGCGGUCGCCUCCAAAAGAGUAACGGAGGCGUUCAAAGGUCGACUCAGCGCGGACGGAAAUCGCGCAAUGAGUGUAAACGCAGAAGUCGGCCUGACUGCGAGACAGACACGUCGAGCAGAGACGAAAGUCGGUGUUAGUGAUCAGGUGGUUGUGUAUGGAAAUGCCAUCGCUUAACGGAUAAAAGCUACCCUGGGGAUAACAGGCUGAUCUCCC